AACGAACGCUGGCGGCGUGCUUAAGACAUGCAAGUCGUGCGAGAAAGCCACCUUCGGGUGGCGAGUACAGCGGCGCACGGGUGAGUAACGCUGGGUAAUCUACCCAAGGGUCUGGGAUAACUCCGGGAAACUGGGGCUAAUACCGGAUAAGACCACGACGUCCUCGGACGACGCGGAAAAAGGUGGCCUCUCCCUUGGAAGCUACCGCCCUCGGAUGAGCCCGCGUCCCAUUAGCUUGUUGGUGGGGUAACGGCCCACCAAGGCUCCGAUGGGUAGCUGGUCUGAGAGGAUGAUCAGCCACACUGGAACUGAGACACGGUCCAGACUCCUACGGGAGGCAGCAGUCGGGAAUUUUGGGCAAUGGGCGAAAGCCUGACCCAGCAACGCCGUGUGAGGGAUGAAGGCCUUCGGGUCGUAAACCUCUGUCGGAAGGGAAGAAUUGCCUCCGUUCGAACAGGGCGGGGGCUUGACGGUACCUUCAAAGGAAGCACCGGCUAACUCCGUG
RNAcentral lists this ribosomal RNA (505 nucleotides) under uncultured bacterium. RNAcentral's name for it is "bacterial SSU rRNA". It matches the Rfam family "Bacterial small subunit ribosomal RNA", at positions 29 to 507 of the family's 1533-position model. The record is from RNAcentral.